AGUGAACGCUGGCGGUAGGCCUAACACAUGCAAGUCGAACGGCAGCACAGUAAGAGCUUGCUCUUACGGGUGGCGAGUGGCGGACGGGUGAGGAAUACAUCGGAAUCUACUUUUUCGUGGGGGAUAACGUAGGGAAACUUACGCUAAUACCGCAUACGACCUACGGGUGAAAGCAGGGGAUCUUCGGACCUUGCGCGAUUGAAUGAGCCGAUGUCGGAUUAGCUAGUUGGCGGGGUAAAGGCCCACCAAGGCGACGAUGGGUAGCUGGUCUGAGAGGAUGAGCGGCCACAUGGGGACGGAGAUACGGCCCAGACGGCGACGGGAGGCAGAAGUGGGGAAUAUUGCACAAGGGGAGGAAGACAGAUGCAGCAACGCCGCGUGCGGGAUGACGGCCGUCGGGUUGUAAACAGCUUUCGCCUGUGACGAAGCGUGAGUGACGGUAAUGGGUAAAGAAGCACCGGCUAACUACGUG
RNAcentral lists this ribosomal RNA (472 nucleotides) under uncultured bacterium. RNAcentral describes it as "partial 16S ribosomal RNA". It matches the Rfam family "Bacterial small subunit ribosomal RNA", at positions 30 to 507 of the family's 1533-position model. The record is from RNAcentral.